UACGGAGGGUGCAAGCGUUAAUCGGAAUUACUGGGCGUAAAGGGUGCGUAGGUGGUAUUUUAAGUUAUCUGUGAAAUUCCUGGGCUUAACCUGGGAAGGCCAGAUAAGACUGGAAGACUUGAGUAUAGGAGAGGGCAGUGGAAUUUCCGGUGUAGCGGUGAAAUGCGUAGAGAUCGGAAGGAACACCAGUGGCGAAGGCGACUGCCUGGCCUGAUACUGACACUGAGGCACGAAAGCGUGGGUAGCAAACAGG
RNAcentral lists this ribosomal RNA (253 nucleotides) under uncultured bacterium. Its description in RNAcentral is "partial 16S ribosomal RNA". It matches the Rfam family "Bacterial small subunit ribosomal RNA", at positions 524 to 776 of the family's 1533-position model. The record is from RNAcentral.